UGGGGAAUAUUGCACAAUGGGCGCAAGCCUGAUGCAGCCAUGCCGCGUGUAUGAAGAAGGCCUUCGGGUUGUAAAGUACUUUCAGCGAGGAGGAAGGCGUUGUGGUUAAUAACCGCAACGAUUGACGUUACUCGCAGAAGAAGCACCGGCUAACUCCGUGCCAGCAGCCGCGGUAAUACGGAGGGUGCAAGCGUUAAUCGGAAUUACUGGGCGUAAAGCGCACGCAGGCGGUCUGUCAAGUCGGAUGUGAAAUCCCCGGGCCCAACCUGGGAACUGCAUCCGAAACUGGCAGGCUAGAGUCUUGUAGAGGGGGGUAGAAUUCCAGGUGUAGCGGUGAAAUGCGUUAGAGAUCUGGAGGAAUACCGGUGGCGAAGGCGGCCCCCUGGACAAAGACUGACGCUCAGGUGCGAAAAGCGUGGGGAGCAAACA
Molecule: ribosomal RNA, 429 nt
Filed under: uncultured Citrobacter sp.
Lineage: Bacteria; Pseudomonadati; Pseudomonadota; Gammaproteobacteria; Enterobacterales; Enterobacteriaceae
Description: bacterial SSU rRNA
Rfam family: Bacterial small subunit ribosomal RNA
Source: RNAcentral